AGACUCUGUGCGCGUGCAUAUCAAUAAGCGGAGGAAAAGAAACUAACAAGGAUUCCCUUAGUAACGGCGAGUGGAGCGGGAAGAGCUCAAAUUUGAAAUCUUCAAGGUUUUACCUUGACGAAUUGUAGUUUAAAGAAGUGUUUUCUGUUGGAGUUUUGGUAAAAGUUCUUUGGAAUAGGACAUCAUAGAGGGUGAGAAUCCCGUAUUUGACCAUUAUUUCCAGCUGUGUGAUACACUUUCGAAGAGUCGGAUUGUUUGGGAAUGCAGUCCAAAAUGGGUGGUAAAUUUCAUCUAAAGCUAAAUAUUGGCGAGAGACCGAUAGCGAACAAGUACCGUGAGGGAAAGAUGAAAAGAACUUUGAAAAGAGAGUUAAACAGUACGUGAAAUUGUCAAAAGGGAAGCGUUUGACACCAGUGUUGUUUUCUCGAAAAUCAAUUAAAAAUGAUGGGAUUUUGUGUCGUAUUGACUUUAUCAGCUUUCUGCACUUUUUUCUUAUCUUUUUUAAUGCACUUUUCGUUUAACAAGUCAACAUCAAUUUCUUUUGUUGUAAAAGAGUCAUUGGAAGGUGGCUUUUUCUUCGGAAAAAGUGUUUAUAGCCCUUGGCUUCUGCAAUCGGAGAGAUUGAGGUCUGCAGCGUAGAUCCUUCGGGGUUAGAUACAUUUGUGCUAAGCUAUAGUUCUUUAUAGACAACUUGUUGACUAUAAUCAAUCCUGUAACUUACUCGCUUAUGCUAUUUUACCUACGCUUAGGAUGUUGAAGAUGUAGCACAUCAU
RNAcentral lists this ribosomal RNA (773 nucleotides) under uncultured Neocallimastigales. RNAcentral's name for it is "partial large subunit ribosomal RNA". The stretch from base 4 to 692 matches the Rfam family "Eukaryotic large subunit ribosomal RNA", at positions 24 to 664 of the family's 3401-position model. Lineage: Eukaryota; Fungi; Neocallimastigomycota; Neocallimastigomycetes; Neocallimastigales. The record is from RNAcentral.